This 460-nucleotide ribosomal RNA is filed under the name uncultured bacterium. Its description in RNAcentral is "partial 16S ribosomal RNA". It matches the Rfam family "Bacterial small subunit ribosomal RNA", at positions 338 to 795 of the family's 1533-position model. The record is from RNAcentral.
CCUACGGGAGGCAGCAGUGAGGAAUAUUGGUCAAUGGGCGGAAGCCUGAACCAGCCAAGUAGCGUGCAGGAUGACGGCCCUACGGGUUGUAACCUGCUUUUAUACGGGAAUAACGCGCCUUACUUGUAGGGCUUUGCAUGUACCGUAUGAAUAAGGACCGGCUAAUUCUGUGCCAGCAGCCGCGGUAAUACGGAGGGUCCGGUCGUUAUCCGGAUUUAUUGGGUGUAAGGGGAGCGUAGGCGGCAAGACAAGCGUGCUGUGAAAUCUCCGGGCUCAACCCGGGCCUUGCAGCGCAAACUGGCGUGCUUGAGUCCGCGGAAAGCAGGCGGAAUUCGUCGUGUAGCGGUGAAAUGCUUAGAUAUGACGAAGAACCCCGAUUGCGAAGGCAGCUUGCUGCAGCGGAACUGACGCUGAUGCUCGAAAGCGCGGGUAUCGAACAGGAUUAGAUACCCUUGUAGUC